RNAcentral lists this ribosomal RNA (1305 nucleotides) under uncultured fungus. Its description in RNAcentral is "eukaryotic LSU rRNA". The stretch from base 638 to 1305 matches the Rfam family "Eukaryotic large subunit ribosomal RNA", at positions 1 to 649 of the family's 3401-position model. Lineage: Eukaryota; Fungi. The record is from RNAcentral.
AAGUCGUAACAAGGUUUCCGUAGGUGAACCUGCGGAAGGAUCAUUAUUGAAGUUGAUUCGGGUUGUCGCUGGCUCUUAGGAGCAUGUGCACGCUCGUUCAUAUUCUUAUUCUCUUGUGCACCUUUAGCUAGACUAUGAAUACCUCUCGAGUGAAAAUCUCGGAUUGAGGGUUGCGCUUCAGCUUCCCUUGCAUUUUCAUAGUCUAUGUCCUUCAUAUACCCCUUUGUAUGUCUCAGAAUGUUUUUUUGUGGGUCCUUUGUGACCUAUAAAAUGUCAGUACAACUUUCAACAACGGAUCUCUUGGCUCUCGCAUCGAUGAAGAACGCAGCGAAAUGCGAUAAGUAAUGUGAAUUGCAGAAUUCAGUGAAUCAUCGAAUCUUUGAACGCACCUUGCACCCUUUGGUAUUCCGAAGGGUAUGCCUGUUUGAGUGUCAUUAAAUUCUCAACCAUUGAACUUGUUUCUUUGGCUUGGAUGUGGGGGUUGCGGGCUUCGCAAGAGGUCGGCUCUCCUUAAAUGUAUUAGUGGAAACCGCUUGCAGGAUUCAUUCACUUUUGGCGUGAUAAUAUCGUCGUCAAAGGCUUAUGUCUCCGAGGUAUCUGCUCUCUAACUGUCCGCAAGGACUCUUAAUGACUUGUUUGACCUCAAAUCAGGUAGGACUACCCGCUGAACUUAAGCAUAUCAAUAAGCGGAGGAAAAGAAACUAACAAGGAUUCCCCUAGUAACUGCGAGUGAAGAGGGAAAAGCUCAAAUUUAAAAUCUGGCAGUCAUAUGGCUGUCCGAGUUGUAAUUUAGAGAAGUGCUAUCCGCGCUGGACCGUGUACAAGUCUCCUGGAAUGGAGCGUCAUAGAGGGUGAGAAUCCCGUCUUUGACACGGACUGCCAGGGCCUUGUGAUGCGCUCUCGAAGAGUCGAGUUGUUUGGGAAUGCAGCUCAAAAUGGGUGGUAAAUUCCAUCUAAAGCUAAAUAUUGGCGAGAGACCGAUAGCGAACAAGUACCGUGAGGGAAAGAUGAAAAGAACUUUGGAAAGAGAGUUAAACAGUACGUGAAAUUGUUGAAAGGGAAACGCUUGAAGUCAGUCGCGUUGGCUUGAAAUCAACCUUGCUCUUUUGCUUGGUGUACUUUCUUGUUGAUGGGUCAACAUCAGUUUUGACUGCUGGAUAAAGGUCAGGGGAAUGUGGCAUCUUCGGAUGUGUUAUAGCCCUUGUUCGCAUACAGUGGUUGGGACUGAGGAACUCAGCACGCCGCAAGGCCGGGUCUUUGACCACGUACGUGCUUAGGAUGUUGGCAUAAUGGCUUUAAUCGACC